GAAGAAGAAGCACUGCGGAUGGGCGGAGUCUGCCCACCCUGACGCAAUCACUAAUAGUGGCUACAUAACAAACACUGACACUUCCCUUUUUCAGCGGCUGCUAAACAACAACACCGACAAGAAUGGGACGAGCCGUCGUCAUUGUUUGUCGUACGGCAAGCCCCAGGGUCGCCGCCGAACGGUUGCUUCGAAGCGUUGUAUCACGGGACUAGCCGACGAAGGCGGCUAACGGGCUUGCUAGCGCGGGGCUGGGCUAAGUUGCCUCUUCGGUCGCGGCGACCCCACUCAGCUCCACCACGACCGCGCUCACUCGCAGGGAAAAUGGUGUACCUGCUAAAUCCUCUGGAGAACCUGAGAAGCUACAUCACCAACCGUCCGCCGCUGGUCAUUUUCAUGAUCACCGUCAGCGCUUUGGCCAUCGCCUUCCUCACUGUCGGCUACUUCUUCAAGAUCAAGGAGAUCAAGUCGCCAGGGUUGACGGAGGACUGGAACACGUUCUUGCUGCGCUUUAACGAACUGGACUUGUGUGUGUCGGAGAACGAGACCAUUAAGCACGGCCUCAACGAGUCCACCACGCCCGAGAGCCUGGUGCUGACCAGCGGGCAGGCGCGCUCCAGCACGCAGGUGCCGCUGAUCUCCGAGGACCCGGGCUCCGUCAACAUCUCGGUGCCCAUCACACUUACGCUGGAUCCCCAGCGUCCGUUCGGGGGCUACUCGCGCAACAUCACCCACCUAUACGCCGCCGUGCUCGGGCAGCAGGUCGGCCUGUCUGGCCGUGAAGCCCACGAAGAGAUCAACAUCACUUUCACGCUGCCCGUUUCCUGGAACGCGGACGACUGCAUCCUGCACGGCCACUGCGAGCAGGUGGUGUUCAGCACGUGCAUGACCAUCUCUGCCGCCAGCAAUAUCUUCCCAGUCACAGUUCAGCCACCACACUGCAUGCCAGAGACGUACACCAACGCCACCUCCUGGUAUAAGGUCUUCACCACGGUGCGGGACUCGGACACCAAGUACAGCCAGGACUACAACCCCUUCUGGUGCUACAAAGGCGCCAUCGGCAAGGUGUACCACGCACUCAACCCCAAACUCACCGUCAUCGUGCCCGAUGAUGACCGCUCCCUCAUCAACCUCCACCUGAUGCACACAAGCUACUUCCUGUUCGUCAUGGUCAUCACUAUGUUCUGCUAUGCGGUCAUCAAGGGCAGGCCCGGCAAAGUGCGGCAAAGCAGCCCCGACUUCUUCCCCGAAAAGCAGGUUUCGGGGAGAAAAUUGUGGUAAAAAGUCUCUUCUUACCGGAGAUCAGCUGAGCUUGCGCCGUCCAUAAAGCUGUCGUCAACUUCGCUGAGACACUGUGCGUCAAGACACCCGUGGACAUACCCCUCCGACGAUCAGGUGGCUCUGUCUGAAGGUUAAUUGGACGGUACCAGAAGAUCAGCUGUAAGACCAGUUCAAAACAAGGACCCAGGGACAAGCACUCGGUUGCCUGUUGGUCUCUGCGGACUUUAAAGACUAAUAAGAAGAAAGACAAAAGCGCUCGGCGAAUGAUUGAACUCUUCCUCGCAAUGUUGGGAUUAUCCAACCAAAGAUACAAGUGCCUGCAUCCGUGGUGUAAAUAUGAUGUAGGAACCUUUUUUGUGUUGUUAUUGUUGCUAAUAAUUGAUUUGCCAUAUCACAACAUGCAGUACCACACAGGUGCCCACCUUAAAGACGAUUGACACAUUCAUCCAUACAAUCCGGCUCGCUUGCUAACCUCCAUCUGUUCACCAAGGCCCGCCUAGACGGGGUGCAGGAGCAGGACCGAAAACAGAGAAGACCGAUAAUGUACUUUUUCUUUAUAUUAAAGGAGUCCAAGCAGUGCUGAGCGGCUAACAAUUGCAACAAUGCGAGUUCAGGCUCAACUGGUAGUGUUCAUUUGUUUUUAAUUUAAUCAGCAAGCUACUUCCUGGGUGCUUCAGACCGACGUACAAAUAGUAAUAACUUAACAUUGUGCUUCAUUCAACAAAAUAAUGGGGUCUUCCUUAGCCCUGAAGUGCUAGCCAAAUGUUUUUUUUGUUUUUUUUAACGUAAAUCUUGCUCAUCCGUUUCUGUUUUUCUUUUAGCAUUAACACGUCCGUUUUCUUAAUGGCGACAAUGAGCCAGAGAUGUUUAGUUUUUUUCGUCCAUAGACUUUGGAGAAACCUUACUUAUCGUCAGAUGGCACCACUCAAAUAAUAGUCACUGCAAAUAAUUCCACCUGUGCAUCGUCACCAAACCCAACGAUGUGAGAAUUCAUCAUCAACAUUGACUGAUUUCACUUCUUGAAUUGAAAAGCGGCAUUGAGAUGCCCUGAAGUUGUUUUUUUUCCUGACCUUUUUUUUUUAAUUAGUAACUACCGGGCUACUUGUUGAUGGAGGCAGAAUAGAACAGCACUCUGCUCUAUUAUGUUUUUAAGGUUUGUUUGUUUUUAAAGCGAAAAUCGUGAAUUGAUCCGCUGGUGUUUACUAAAGUGCACCACUUCAGUAACGUGUUAUCAGAAUAGGACAAAGUUGAUGUCUAAAUUACACACUUGUCUCGUUUUGUUGGGCCGGAAACUUGCCUUACCUGUUGUGGACUUGCUUUCUCGCUCGCCUUCAUCAUGUCAUUUUCUUCCACUCACUAGAAAACUCUGAAAACAUCGAUCCGCUUUUGAAUUAUUCCUUUUUUUUGGGGGGCGGGGUUUAAAUUUUGUACGCCACGCAAACACUGUUUAAGCACUUUUUAUGUUUUAUUUUGUGUGCACAUUUUGAUGUGAUUUUUGCAUUUUUGUUGUAAUUUUGAGUUAUUGCAUAUUCUCUCACCCAAAAAAUGUCUGAUUAUAUUUAUGGUUAAAACGUGCGUAUAGUAUAACAAAAUGUGCAAAAAAAGACAAAAAAUUAAGAGUGUUUGGUGUUUUUUUUCUCUCUUAAUGAACAUUUACAGUUUGAUUUUAUUUUGUGCAACUUUGACAAUCAAGAUGUUUACUUUAUCUGUAUUUUUUUUUUUGUCGAGAAGCGCCUGAGUCUACAUUUUUCUUUGCCUCCUAAUUUAAUUCCAUUCAAAAUAAAAAUGUUGAAUGUACUUUUUUCACAAUCUUGUAAAAUUCCAUGUUAUCCGUUCAAAAACUUGAAUAAUGUUUUUGUUGAUAUUAUAGGAAUAUUGUAUCGAACGCGUAUCAAUGAAAAUAAAUGUUCUUUUUGUUUUAAUUUCAAAGUCUUCCAAGAAAUGUAUCAUAUUCAAGCAUGCAUCUGUCACGACUAAAGUGUGUCAUCUGUGUGCAGCUCCGCAAAUGGCCUUAAAAUUGUUUGUGUGUAUCGCUGUGUCAACGAAAUGGCUUUAUCGACAAUAACGGCCAUUCCUUUCUACUCACUGGGCGUUUUCUUGAGUUGUCUGCAGAGCUUUCAGGCUAAGAGUAGGAAGCCAAGCGUGUGCCUUCCUCACUUAUCAAGCUGCAUCCCUGUAGAUAAGACACGUAGCAUAGGGAAGGGAAGGAGAUGGUUUUGUGGAUAUGACUGUAGAUGAAUACAAAGUGAAUUAAAGUCUCUUUUAAGUUAA
Nerophis ophidion (straightnose pipefish) is the source of this 3549-nucleotide RNA transcript. It is a transcript of the gene named transmembrane protein 248, with no coding region annotated. NCBI's taxonomy places the organism in Eukaryota, Metazoa, Chordata, Actinopteri, Syngnathiformes, Syngnathidae. The transcript is spliced from 8 exons. The record is from RefSeq and is a predicted model, not a curated record.